Molecule: long non-coding RNA, 1245 nt
Filed under: Gallus gallus (chicken)
Lineage: Eukaryota; Metazoa; Chordata; Aves; Galliformes; Phasianidae
Description: lncRNA (ENSGALG00010002856.1)
Source: RNAcentral
CUCCCACUCACCAGGCUGCAACCUCUGCUACAGCCCCGCGCCAUCAUGAGAUGUGAGUUGUUUCCAAAGAAGCUUAAAUCUGCGUUUUACGUGUGGAAGUUUGCAGCUGUAAUGGGAUUACGGUGUCGGCAGAGGGAGGGAAGUUUGCAGCUGUACUGGUUUGGGGGGGGUAGGAAGCAGCUGUUAAAAUAGAGGACUAAUGGUGAUUAAUUCUUAUUAUGUGUUUGAAGAUCGCACAAUGAGUUCAGGACCCAAACCUUCCCGCAGGGAAUAAACUGAAGGAGGAGGAUUUAAAAAGAGGGAAAAUAGAAGGGGAAUUUUAAUGUACGUUUGGCCUAAGUGGCCUGGUCUUAAAUCACUUGAUUAAUAUUUAAGCAUAAUUUAAAUCAGUGUUAUUAAGACAAAAAAAUAUCUAGCUCGGGAAACCUGUAAUUAAUGGGUGUUUAUGCAGAUUGGGAGAUCACCUGCACUCUUUCAAAAGUGCAUGCACAGGGACCAGACAGGAUGAAGACCCCAUCCCGCAUCCCAAUCUGUUCACGAGCCAUGGUCCAGCACUGAAGCUCCAGCAGCAGGAACAUCCCAACCUGACCUCAGCUCAGUGUACAGCCCCGGGGGAACCUGCUCCGUUUCCCACAUUCAGGGCAAUUCACAUCAGAGCCAGGUUAUUUGCUGCAAUAUUGCGUCUGAGUCCUACAGCCAGCUUGCAGAGAAAUGCAAUGUGCUGGGUAUUCUGAGGCUUCCCCAGAGCACAGCAGGUAGAAGAUAUGAGAUUUCUAUUUAUAUACUGCAGCCUGGCCAAGGAAGUGACAAUUUAACGGCAAAGGUAAGGGGAUGGGGUGUGAAGGUGCCUGCAAAGGCAGUGGUGCAGGCAGUGCAAGGUCCCCUGAGCUCCUGGGGGGCAGUGACCCACUUCGGACCAUGACGGGUCCCUGAGAGUGCCCGACCCUCUGUCUUCUCUCAGCUCAUUGACUUUGUGGCUUGACAACAUAGCAUGGCUCCUGCAGUCCUUCGGCAGAUCAAGAAAAACAAAGAAAAAUUAAAGAUGGUGAACAGCAGCUAUUAGGGUUGGAAGGGCAAACCUACAACAUGAAGAUCAUGUGGAUUCCACACUGGAGACCAAAAUAUCUCUUUUUACUCCUAGAUGAUGCAGAACUCGAGUUGGGAUAUUUUCAGCCAUGAGAACACUUUCACCUUAUUUCCGGGCUGUUUCUCCCUAAGGGCCGAAGUGGAGGUUCAGAAACUUCA